UAACCACUCAAGCCCUCGCUUGGUAUUGGGGCUCGCGGUCUCGCGGCCUCUAAACUCAGUGGCGGUGCCUGUCGGCUCUACGCGUAGUAAUACUCCUCGCGUCUGGGUCCGGCAGGUUGCCUGCCAGCAACCCCCAAAUUUUUACA
RNAcentral lists this unclassified non-coding RNA (146 nucleotides) under uncultured Mollisia. RNAcentral describes it as "sequence contains ITS2". The record is from RNAcentral. Lineage: Eukaryota; Fungi; Ascomycota; Leotiomycetes; Helotiales; Dermateaceae.